UCGGAUCCAGCCCACCUCUGCUUCUUCUGCAGCACGAAGAAGAAAAUAUCACUCUAUGGGUCCCAGCCCACUUCCAGUUCUUCUCAAACCGCAGCAGGCAACGACCGUUUGUGCCUCCCAAUCUCCAAAAAAAAUCGACCAAUUCCUCCCACCGGAAACUGCCGGAAGCCUACCGAUCUCACAGGUACUGGACUGAUGCGUGCUUCUCCACCUUCCUUGGUGCUCGGCUGGGUGUCGCGAUGCUCUUUUGCUUCUCUGAAAAUUGCUUUUGUCUGGCUCCUGUCUAAUUUCUCCACUGGCAUGUGGCAUGAUGGAGUUUCCGUCUGUUCAGCUCAGGAGCCUGGCGGAGGCUAUCUCUUCGACCCUAUAUCAGCUAGCCCUAAUAGAGGAAUCAAAAUUUUAUACUAUUUGAAUUAAACUUUAUAUAAUACUUAUUUAUCUCAUGUGAAUUUUUAGCAAUUGGGUGUUUUCACGAUGCUCGAAGCUUAAGAAACAAAAUGCCCUAUUCGUGGUGCAGAGCCAUUAUUUGGGGCAGCUAACCUAAAUGACGUGUUAAAAAACCUAAUCAUCCUUGCCACGCCAUCUAAUUUCUCUUGCUACUAAGGUUAGGAUCCCAAGGGAUAUUAUAGAUCUUGGGUUUUGAAUAUAUGCUCAUUUUCUUCUAUCUGACUAUGCAGAGAAAGGAAGAAUGAAGAAUUUCCAUGUUUCUAUGCUAACACAUCUUUGGAGGUGUGUGCCUACGCCUCAUAGCUGGUCUGAAGCAAAAUAAAUUAUUUACCUUAGCUAUUCUACACAUGCAAAGUGUGUAAAAUAUGUAGUGAUCCAUACAUAAAAAAAUGGUUCCAUUCAGAUUGCCAUAGAUGCCUUCAUUUCGUCAUGAGGUUAGGGAGGAAAAAAGCAAUAGAAAUGCAAUGGAGGUGGCUUCCUUACCACAGCCUCAUCUCUUGAUUUCUUUUCUGAUUCGUGCAAUACAAUUUUUUUUGUUUGACCUUCUA
Non-coding RNA from Lolium perenne, 995 nucleotides. Lineage: Eukaryota; Viridiplantae; Streptophyta; Magnoliopsida; Poales; Poaceae. The record is from RefSeq and is a predicted model, not a curated record.